CAGCCGCCACGGGAAUACUGAGGGUGCGAGCGUUAAUCGGAUUUACUGGGCGUAAAGCGUGCGUAGGCGGCUUCUUAAGUCGGAUGUGAAAUCCCUGAGCUUAACUUAGGAAUUGCAUUCGAUACUGGGAAGCUAGAGUGUGGGAGAGGAUGGUAGAAUUCCAGGUGUAGCGGUGAAAUGCGUAGAGAUCUGGAGGAAUACCGAUGGCGAAGGCAGCCAUCUGGCCUAACACUGACGCUGAGGUACGAAAGCAUGGGGAGCAAACAGGAUUAGAUACCCGUGUAGUCCCUGUCUCUUAUAC
Molecule: ribosomal RNA, 301 nt
Filed under: uncultured bacterium
Lineage: Bacteria
Description: partial 16S ribosomal RNA
Rfam family: Bacterial small subunit ribosomal RNA
Source: RNAcentral